Non-coding RNA from Schistosoma curassoni, 45 nucleotides. The record is from Rfam. NCBI's taxonomy places the organism in Eukaryota, Metazoa, Platyhelminthes, Trematoda, Strigeidida, Schistosomatidae.
AUCCAGCUAAUAAGUCCCAAAUAGAAUGAAACGCGCGUCCUGGAU